AGAAAUUUCCAGAUGUACCAAUAAAAUUUAUCAGGGCAGCACUCGGAAAAAUUAAAUGAUGAGCACAAGUUACGAGUAAGGGAAAUGGAGUAAAUGCAGCCUGCUGUGAAUUGGAUUCUGCUUUGGUCUACUUUUUUCUUUUUUUCUCUUUUUUUUUUUUUUUUUACAAUUUUAAUAAAAAAUUGUGAAAAUA
This is a long non-coding RNA of Danio aesculapii, 193 nucleotides long. RefSeq lists it as uncharacterized. The transcript is spliced from 2 exons. The record is from RefSeq and is a predicted model, not a curated record. NCBI's taxonomy places the organism in Eukaryota, Metazoa, Chordata, Actinopteri, Cypriniformes, Danionidae.